This is a long non-coding RNA of Spinacia oleracea (spinach), 526 nucleotides long. RefSeq lists it as uncharacterized. NCBI's taxonomy places the organism in Eukaryota, Viridiplantae, Streptophyta, Magnoliopsida, Caryophyllales, Amaranthaceae. The record is from RefSeq and is a predicted model, not a curated record. The transcript is spliced from 3 exons.
CCAUUUGAUGGGACAUGAAGUCGAGAUGCAGGUGGUUUGAAAUACUUUGCCUCGUCGAUUUGGCGCUCCAGGUCUUCCAGAGUUGAAUGCAUCUCAAGUAUUAUAUUCUUGUGUUUAACAUUGUUCUUGUAGGGUACUAACUUAUGCGCUACAAUAAUCGGGCAAUUAUGGAGGCUGCUCAAGUACUGCUUUAUUUCGGAGUUGAACAAAUCAUCUAUGUUUCUGAAAUGACGCACUGCUAAAUAAAGGUCUAUACUACGAGGAAUGCGCCUUAUGCUAGUGAGGAAAUUGAGGUGGUUCGUGAGCAAUGGGCUAAGUUUUUUACGAGCAAGUAUUUAUUAUUGGCCUGAGCGCGUUUGAUCGAGUUGGCUUAGAUGUUAUAGAACAAUCUUGUAUAUUAAAAUGUAUGCGUACGUUGAAAUUGGAACGUACAUAUAUUUAAAUGUACUACAUGCACUUUGUUUUGGGAUAUAUAGUAUACAAAACACCAGUUAUUGUUUUUAUAAUUGUUAUACAGGUUGCGAUA